GUCAGGCAUGGUGGCACAUGCCUGUAAUCCCAGCAGCUCAGGAGACUUGAGGCAGGAGGAUCACAAGUUCAAAGCCACCCUCAGUAAUUUAGUGAAACCCUGUCUCAA
This 108-nucleotide small RNA is filed under the name Marmota monax (woodchuck). The record is from RNAcentral. Lineage: Eukaryota; Metazoa; Chordata; Mammalia; Rodentia; Sciuridae.